GCUUACGGCCAUACCACCCUGAACACGCCCGAUCUCGUCUGAUCUUGGAAGCUAAGCAGGGUCGGGCCUGGUCAGUACUUGGAUGGGAGACCGCCUGGGAAUACCAGGUGCUGUAAGCU
This is a ribosomal RNA of Oreochromis aureus, 119 nucleotides long. The record is from Ensembl. Lineage: Eukaryota; Metazoa; Chordata; Actinopteri; Cichliformes; Cichlidae.